This 669-nucleotide long non-coding RNA is filed under the name Helianthus annuus (common sunflower). Lineage: Eukaryota; Viridiplantae; Streptophyta; Magnoliopsida; Asterales; Asteraceae. The record is from RNAcentral.
UCCGAUGAUGGCAUGAUAUCUUUGAGACCUGAUAUUUUCAUAUUUUGAUGACAACUAUAAGCAUUUACGCUGAGGAUCCUUUACAAAUUAAAUUUGUUCAGCUUUUUUUUUUUUUUUUUUGUGGAAUUCGAGAUGAUGUUUGCACUGGGCUCUGAGAGCAGUUGAUUAAUUGCUUGAUUUGAUGCAUAAUGCAGCCUAGAAAGCUAGUCUGAUCGGCUAUUUUUUUGUUAUGAUUUUUUAAAUUUAUAAUUAUAAUUAGUUUUGUUUUUGGUUAUUUGAUUUUUGCUAUGAAGAUGGAACUUGCAUCCCAGCUCACUCUGAGACCUUGAUAUGUUUGAGGUUGUGGAUUAUAUUUAGUUCAUAUUUUAUCUGAGCUUUUAAUUUUGAUUAUUUAUUUUUGUUUUGAUUUGGUGUUUUGGUUCAAUGAUGAUGAAACUAUCUAAUCCCAGCUCUAUGAGAUCUUAAUUUGUUUAAGGUCAAGGAAUUACAUUGUUUAGUGUUUUAUCUGAGCCUUUUUUAGUUUUAAUUUCCCACAUUUGGUUUAAAUUUAUGAUUUUUGUUCAUACAAUUUUUUUUUUUACAAAAUUGAUUAGUUCCCGAUGAUGUACGAAUUUGACCAUGCUAAUUCUGAUAUUGAUGAAACAUUUUUCUGUCAUUUCUGAGGGGACA